ACCGCCCGUCGCUUCAUCGAAGUUGGUUUUAGGCGAGGUGGUGCGAUAUUGGCAUUAUCGAACCUGAGAUCAGCAACGAGGAG
RNAcentral lists this ribosomal RNA (83 nucleotides) under uncultured bacterium. RNAcentral describes it as "partial 16S ribosomal RNA". The record is from RNAcentral.